Molecule: ribosomal RNA, 444 nt
Filed under: uncultured bacterium
Lineage: Bacteria
Description: SSU rRNA
Rfam family: Bacterial small subunit ribosomal RNA
Source: RNAcentral
AGAGCGAACGCUGGCGGCAGGCCUAAUACAUGCAAGUCGAACGGAUCCUUCGGGAUUAGUGGCGGACGGGUGAGUAACACGUGGGAACGUACCCUUUGGUUCGGAACAACUCAGGGAAACUUGAGCUAAUACCGAAUGUGCCCUUCGGGGAAAAGAUUUAUCGCCAUUGGAGCGGCCCGCGUCUGAUUAGCUAGUUGGUAGGGUAAAGGCCUACCAAGGCUACGAUCAGUAGCUGGUCUGAGAGGAUGAUCAGCCACACUGGGACUGAGACACGGCCCAGACUCCUACGGGAGGCAGCAGUAGGGAAUCUUGCGCAAUGGCGAAAGCCUGACGCAGCCAUGCCGCGUGAAUGAUGAAGGUCUUAGGAUUGUAAAAUUCUUUCAGCGGGGACGAUAAUGACGGUACCGCAGAAGAACGCCCGGCUAACUUCGUGCCAGCAGCCGC